This 377-nucleotide ribosomal RNA is filed under the name uncultured bacterium. Its description in RNAcentral is "bacterial SSU rRNA". It matches the Rfam family "Bacterial small subunit ribosomal RNA", at positions 521 to 896 of the family's 1533-position model. The record is from RNAcentral.
UAAUACGGAGUGUGCUAGCGUUACUCGGAAUCACUGGGCAUAAAGCGCGCGUAGGCGGAGUCUCAAGUCGGUUGUGAAAUCCCUCAGCUUAACUGAGGAGCUGCAGCCGAUACUGUGACUCUUGAGGACGAAAGGGGAGAGCGGAACUUCUGGUGAAGCGGUGAAAUGCGUAGAUAUCAGAAGGAACGCCGGUGGCGAAAGCGGCUCUCUGGUUCGUAUCUGACGCUGAGGCGCGAAAGCUUGGGUAGCAAACGGGAUUAGAUACCCCGGUAGUCCAAGCCGUAAACGAUGAGUACUAGGUAGAGGAGGCCUCGUCGCCUUCUCUGCUGGAGCAAAUGUAUUAAGUACUCCGCCUGGGGAGUACAGUCGCAAGGCCG